CAAGUCGAGCGGUAGCACAGAGAAGCUUGCUUCUUGGGUGACGAGCGGCGGACGGGUGAGUAACGCGUGGGAAUCUACCUGGUAGUGGGGGACAACAGUCGGAAACGACUGCUAAUACCGCAUACGCCCUUCGGGGGAAAGUGGGGGAUCUUCGGACCUCACGCUAUCAGAUGAGCCCGCGUCGGAUUAGCUUGUUGGUGAGGUAAAGGCUCACCAAGGCGAUGAUCCGUAGCUGGUCUGAGAGGAUGACCAGCCACACUGGGACUGAGACACGGCCCAGACUCCUACGGGAGGCAGCAGUGGGGAAUAUUGGACAAUGGGGGCAACCCUGAUCCAGCCAUGCCGCGUGUGUGAAGAAGGCCUUCGGGUUGUAAAGCACUUUCAGCUGUGAGGAAAGGUGAGUGGUUAAUACCCGCUUGCUGUGACGUUAACAGCAGAAGAAGGACCGGCUAACUCCGUGCCAGCAGCCGCGGUAAUACGGAGGGUCCGAGCGUUAAUCGGAAUUACUGGGCGUAAAGCGCGCGUAGGUGGUUCAGUCAGUCAGAUGUGAAAGCCCCGGGCUCAACCUGGGAACUGCACCUGAUACUGCUGAGCUAGAGUACGGUAGAGGGUAGUGGAAUUUCCGGUGUAGCGGUGAAAUGCGUAGAGAUCGGAAGGAACACCAGUGGCGAAGGCGACUACCUGGACCGAUACUGACACUGAGGUGCGAAAGCGUGGGUAGCAAACAGGAUUAGAUACCCUGGUAGUCCACGCCGUAAACGAUGUCAACUAGCCGUUGGGGGACUUGAUCCUUUAGUGGCGAAGCUAACGCGAUAAGUUGACCGCCUGGGGGAGUACGGCCGCAAGGUUAAAACUCAAUGAAUUGACGGGGCCCGCACAAGCGGUGGAGCAUGUGGUUUAAUCGAAGCACGCGAGACUUACUACUCUGACAUCAGAGACUUCAGAGAUGAUGGUGCUCGGACUCUGAAACAGUGCUGCAUGGCUGUCGUCAGCUCAGUUGAAUGUAGUAGUCGUACGAGCCUCAUACUAUGCACGAUAGUCGACUUUAGCAACU
This 1054-nucleotide ribosomal RNA is filed under the name Pseudomonas sp. R82. RNAcentral's name for it is "bacterial SSU rRNA". It matches the Rfam family "Bacterial small subunit ribosomal RNA", at positions 58 to 1119 of the family's 1533-position model. The record is from RNAcentral. Lineage: Bacteria; Pseudomonadati; Pseudomonadota; Gammaproteobacteria; Pseudomonadales; Pseudomonadaceae.